This 72-nucleotide transfer RNA is filed under the name Camelus bactrianus (Bactrian camel). It matches the Rfam family "tRNA". From Rfam's summary of the family: Transfer RNA (tRNA) molecules are approximately 80 nucleotides in length. Their secondary structure includes four short double-helical elements and three loops (D, anti-codon, and T loops). The record is from Rfam by way of RNAcentral. Lineage: Eukaryota; Metazoa; Chordata; Mammalia; Artiodactyla; Camelidae. RNAcentral also lists the same sequence under 2 other names.
GGGGAAGUAGCUCAGUAGUAGAGCAUGAGCUUAGGAUGCAGGAAGUCCUGGGUUCAAUCCCCAGUACCUCUA